AUUGAACGCUGGCGGCAGGCCUAACACAUGCAAGUCGAACGGUAACAGGAAGAAGCUUGCUUCUUUGCUGACGAGUGGCGGACGGGUGAGUAAUGUCUGGGAAACUGCCUGAUGGAGGGGGAUAACUACUGGAAACGGUAGCUAAUACCGCAUAACGUCGCAAGACCAAAGAGGGGGACCUUCGGGCCUCUUGCCCUCGGAUGUGCCCAGAUGGGAUUAGCUAGUAGGUGGGGUAACGGCUCACCUAGGCGACGAUCCCUAGCUGGUCUGAGAGGAUGACCAGCCACACUGGAACUGAGACACGGUCCAGACUCCUACGGGAGGCAGCAGUGGGGAAUAUUGCACAAUGGGCGCAAGCCUGAUGCAGCCGUGCCGCGUGUAUGAAGAAGGCCUUCGGGUUGUAAAGUACUUUCAGCGGGGAGGAAGGGAGUAAAGUUAAUACCUUUGCUCAUUGACGUUACCCGCAGAAGAAGCACCGGCUAACUCCGUG
RNAcentral lists this ribosomal RNA (490 nucleotides) under uncultured bacterium. RNAcentral describes it as "partial 16S ribosomal RNA". It matches the Rfam family "Bacterial small subunit ribosomal RNA", at positions 30 to 507 of the family's 1533-position model. The record is from RNAcentral.